Molecule: long non-coding RNA, 1712 nt
Filed under: Salmo salar (Atlantic salmon)
Lineage: Eukaryota; Metazoa; Chordata; Actinopteri; Salmoniformes; Salmonidae
Description: lncRNA (ENSSSAG00000112430.1)
Source: RNAcentral
CCCAUUUAAAAAAGUAAUACGCAGACAUCAGCAUUCAGCUACUAGGUUUAUAAAAUAUCAUACACAGUGAUGAACCUUUAUACGGUCCGUCUAGAUAUUACAACUCUAAGGGAAGGGCACUAUUCCCUACGUAGUGCACUACUUUUGACCCGAGCCCUAUAAGCCCUUGUAGUGCACUAUGGAGGGAAAAGGCCAUUUGGGAUAUCAUUUCCCUCCUUUUUUUGGUUUUGUAAACUGUUGACAUUCAGAGCCCCGCCCCCUCAUCUGAGGGUUGGUCAUGUGACCAGACCGCCUGUCACGUAUUCAGAGAUAGAGAGAGAGAGAGAGAGAGAGAGAGAGAGAGAGAGAGAGAGAGAGGAAAACAGAGUAUUAGUAGUUGUCAGAAAUCUGUAUUAGAAGUAUCAAAUAAAACCUUCCACUGACUGAUCAGCCAGCCAAAUAAUAACACAAUCAACAUGAUUGUACCUUUCAGCCAACUCUGGAGUGUGUGUGUGUACCUACAUGGAUCCUCCUUUUUGUAAACACAACCAUUCCCUCGACAUUCCUCUUUUUCACACCCCACACCAAUACCAUACAGAAUCAAUAAUGAAAGCGAUAACAUCACAAAUAAAUAAUACAUCAAAACAAAUAAAUAAUGAAUGACAAGAAAUAAAUUAUGAAUGAAAACAAAAAAAUAAUGGACUUUCAAAUAUAAUAGUUACUUAAAUGCUAUAUCAAAGCAAGCAGGUUGGCUUUGAGUGCGGAGAUUGUCAUUGCGUGAGGCUUCUUGCAGUUUGGUGAUGAUGCUAUGUAUGUCCAGUUUGUCCCUCGUUGUGUGGUUGCAGUACUUGCACAGCAUACUGUAGGUUACUGUUAAAAAAACUUAACAGUCAUUUGGGACCUGUUAUGACAUCACUCUUAUGUCUUCCAGCGUGUCACACGUUCUCUGUGAUGUCACACAGGCGCUUUGUGAUGUCACAGAGGUUCCUUAUUUAUGAUGCCACAGAGGCUCUCUAUGAUGUCACAGGAGAUUAGACCCGUCUUGUUUCAUCCAUCUCAUCUCUCUCUCCUUUCAAUUGUGCUUCUACUGUUUUUUUCACUACGUGGACUUGUUGCAGUUCACACAUUCAUUCCCCACUCAGCCUGGUGACUGACUGAUUGGCUGGCAACCCUGUGUAGUGGGUCUAGAGGUCAGAAUUGAAAGGUCAACCUAUUUGUUGUUAUAGGGGUCAGAGUUCGUUGGUUCAGUUCAGAGGGCGGUGAGUGUGCGGAACAGCUGUGUGAGGCAGAAGACGGAAGCAGUGAGGGCAGUACACUGCUUGGCAAGAAGCUUGGUGCUGAGGUCAUGACAGCUCCGCCUCCCGCUCGCCCUCUCCGCUGCCAGCACAAACUCCCGGUACGUUCUGGCCACGUCCGCCAGCCCCGCUAGUGCCUCGGCAUUCCUCCGGUCGCACCGGUCGCACCCGGAGAACCACAGGCACAUGCCGGCCAUGCCCACCAGGGUCCUGAAGCUGUCAGAGAGGGAGAAGAGCAUCUCAUCCGGGGUCUGCCCCACCCGGACCACCUUCUGACAGCCGGCCAUCAGCCUCCGGGCCUCCAUGUGGAGAAGACGCUUGUUUUCUGAGAAGUGGGUGGCGCAGGUCUCCCUGGGGUGCCUCCCCCCUUUCCCCCCCAUCCUCCCCCCCUGCAGGAGGGUGAGAAGCUCGUCCACGUCACUCCGGAUGGUCUGGAAC